This is a non-coding RNA of Coturnix japonica (Japanese quail), 4056 nucleotides long. The record is from RefSeq and is a predicted model, not a curated record. Lineage: Eukaryota; Metazoa; Chordata; Aves; Galliformes; Phasianidae.
UUCAACUGAUUCAAUUUUGCUCCACAAGACAUUGUAUCUGAGCCUUUCUGGAGACUAUUCAAAGCAAAUCAUUUUCAUUUUACCAUUUGGAGGUGCUUUUCCUAUUAGGGAUCUCUAAUAGUGCUGGAUUUGUGCAGCAGCCCACAGACUGCAUCCCAAGCAGAGCAGAACCUAGGAAAGAGUAAGAAGCCAUGAUGAAGUGCCAACUAGAAGGAGACCUUCCACCAAACUUCGCUCCAAUCUGUUUUGUUAUGACAAGAACAAGUGGUUUUAACAAGUAUGCCAUAAAUCAGGGGCGCGCGCUCCAGCCCGGAGCCUUCCAGGUACAAACUCACAUUCCUUUUCUUCUGGUGGGGUUUUUUAUUUUCCAAGACAGAAAAAAAAACAUGGAAUUUGGAUGCUGCCAUCUGCAAAUAGGCAGCGGAGGGCUGGUCCUUGAGGUCAGUAUUAAUAGUUCUGUUCAACACAACUCACAGCAGAAUCCACAUGAUGCUGUCUGCAUCUCAUCUGAUUGAAGGUCCACAGCACAUCACACUUGGCUUUGUUCUGUAAGACAAAACCCUUUUCUUCAGUGACCAUACCCCUCUAACCAUGACUUUUUGGGCUGCUGUAGAUGGAAAGCAUGGGCUGGGAAAGGCACGGCUGUUUUGUUCCAGAGUGCUCCCACUGUACCUUCAGUCUAAUAGCUGUCCAGAAGUGUCUUGGGGAGGAAGGAACAUCGUCACCACUGGGUGGAUGAUGGUAACAAAGGCAGAAUUUCAUCUACAAAUCAAAACUUUGGAAACGUUUGGUUCUAGGUUCUCCCUUUGUGGUUUGAGUCUGCAGGUGCCAAUGUUGUUUCCCUUUCUUGCUGAGCUCUCAUUGGCCCAUGGAAACAGAUUUGUUCAGCUUUCACAGCAACCCUGCUUGCUGCAAACAAAAACCUACAGGCAACUGACAGAUUUGCUCCCAAGGCACACAAAGGACACAAGCUGGGAGUCAGGGCUUGCAGGGGAGCUGAUUUGAAGAGGGGGUGAGCAGGAGGGGAAGCUCUCAGCCUCAGAUCACUGUAACUGGAGGUGAAGGUUCCCUGCAGCAAAGAAAAGUCCAGUACAGCACCCAGGUUUGCUCAGGAGGUCACUAACAAACCUUGAAGACAAAAAGGUCUUUUCUAUUCCUACCUGACUGCCCAUAUACACUACUUGGUGAACAGGGGCUGUAGUGAGAGAAAAGGCCACAAAAAACUGAAAAUGUAGGUUUUCAUGCAGUAGGGUUGGCUAAGGAGCCUAAACAGCUGCACAGUGCACCUUUUGGUUCUUAGGAUUCAAACAAGCAGCCGACCUAAUAAUAAAGCACAAAGUCAACGAGAGUCUUAAACAAACACACUUCUGAAAUAUAUCUUGAUUAAAAAAAUAAAUAAAUCCAUAAAGAUAAAGGCAGAGAAGAGUACAAGGGUGAUGGUUUCUGCAUGCAGGCACUGAGGGACUCUAAGGGGAAAAGAAACAGCAGUAGGUAAAUACAGCCAUCCCUGUUCAUGUUUCCUGGAUGUCAGGCACGGUUAAUGUUAGGGAGACAGAGGGAGAGUUGAAGUAUUGGCCCCAAUUCAACAAAGCACUUAAGCAUGAGCUUAACUCUAAGUACGUACUUAAGUUCCUCCUUAUAUAGCAGAACAUAUGUUAACGCCCCGCGUAAGUGCAUGCUUAAAGUUAAGUGUCUGCUUAAGAGCUUUGUUGAAUCAAGGCUGGUGUUUACUUCUAACAAUUGAUGUCUCCUGGAAUAUCCACAUUUCUGGUUGCAAACCUGACACAUCUGUUUUCUCUUAGCAUUAUUAAUAGAGUCAUUCUUUAAAAAAAACACCCGACAACACAACCCUUAAAAAGCUGCGAUCGCUGCACUCAGGAGAGCAAAUGACCAACAAGACCCAGCCACUUCCCUGGGCAUCCCUAUGGGCUACGCUUCCUGUUUGUUCCAGGGCACCUAAGGGGAAGCAAUGAGUUGCAAAAUGACUGGAGUCAUCAAAUCAUCUGAAUUUAGCUUGAUAAGGAAAAUAAGUGAUACCAGUUUUAAGAAAUUUUGAAUAUUUAAAGGUUGCUGGUGUGUAAACUCGUGUUGUGGUUUGGGUUAGGGUUAGUUAAGGCUUGUCGCAGCUGAAGCUCAGAUAAAUUGUAAACCAAUAUGUGAUUUGUAACAUAAGAGAGCAUUGAAUUACUGUAUGCAAGCAAAUAUCAUGUAUCUAAAAUUCUUCUCUUAAGUAGAAUAGGUACCUUAGGAAAAUCCUGAGUUAUGAUAGACUCUCGGAAUUCAGCUUACCACCACCAAUGCAAGACAUCAUGCAGACAUAGAGAUAAUUCACAGCUUGUGUUCUUUUCAAAGCCACUUGCCCACUGCCGACAGGAUCAGCCCCAUGGAAUCCCACUUGUGCAGUCCCACUGGGAUGUGCUCAGGGGCAGCAGAGCCAGGUAAGGCACAGAGCAGUGUUUUGUGGCUCUAUUCAUCCAUUACCUUUUUUUUUUAUCAUUCAUUUUUGAGUGGUUUGGGGGCAUCUCUCCUGCAUCCCGCUACUCUUGGGAAGCAAGGCUCCAUCCCUCCAUUGGAUGCGGAUCCAAACCAGCCUUCCCAGCCCUGCCAGGCGGUUUCCCAGCAAUGCUGGAAACUCAGACCACAAUAGAAGGAAAUCACUAAAGCUCAAUUGCUCCAAGUAAGUCCUCAGCAGGGUUUGACUGGUAAAUAUUUAACAAGGAGAACUCCCUAUCCUCUCCUGGUACGUAUUAAACUAAUACAUUUAUUUUAACAAGGGAAAUGGUUUCCCCAAGCUCCUGCUCAAUUUGAGCCCUUGACUUCUACAAAAGCCUAAGUAAGGUAGGCUUCCUGGGGCUCAGUAAUUCACUGGGACUAAACGAGAGAUGGCUCCGAGCCACGAACCAGGAGCACGGAGGUGACAGGACCUCCCCAGGGCUGGGAAGAGCUCGGUGAUGGGCUCCCAUCCCACCCAUCUCCAGAUAGGUCCCAUCCCCACUUUGAGACAUCCCUGCUGCUGCCAUCUUCCCACUGCUUCAGCCAUCCCAUGGAGCAGGUUGCUCAUAACCCAUACACAAGGUUUUUUUUGUGCUGGAAACGGUCCCACAUCUGCAGGUGGGUUUGGGGGCUGCUUUGAGGGGUGAGGCUGUGGGCAGGGAUGUGAUGCUGCCACAGUGCAGAGCCAAGCACAGCAGCAGCCAUGAGGAUCCAAGGCUGCAGGAGGUUCUCCUGUUCUCUUGCUCAUCUUUUUUCAGCCUUGCCCUCAAGGAAACAAAAAGCUCAGAAAGCACCUCCCAGUUUUGCAUCUAUCUUUGCUCAGAGCCGUCUCAUGGCUCCAGCACUUUCACUCUGACUCACGGGCAGAAGGGCAGGUUCCAACAGCUGUGGCCGCCUCUGCCAAGGCAAUUACAGCUCCUGGCAUCAUGGUACAAAACUCCAUGGGAAAUUUUCCACAGCUCAGCAUGUCCAGGUUGCCAUACAUGCAUUCCCAGGAUGGCAGCAGGCACUUGUUAGGUGGAGAUGGAGAAGGUAAGCCCUACUACCUCAAAAAGAGCAGCCUGGUGUCACCAAACACCUUCACAGCCCGUGGAAUCAGAGGUUUCCCUGCAUUCCCCUGAGUGCUUGUAUGCAGAAGAUGCCUUGAGCAUGGAAACAUCCAGCCUUGGUCUGAGCACUUGAUGCUUUUUCUGCUGCCAUCAUGGGCCAGCAUCGUGUCUUACCUUUCAUCGUCACCAAAAACUAACCCACGAGGCAUGUCUCUUCCCCAGGCAUUGCAGUUUGCCUUCAGUCCUUCACAACAUUUAAUAAACCUCUCUCUUGGACAUGGAGCAUCUGCACACAUUUUCUCACCCUCCCAAGCAUGCAGAACCCCUAUCUUUGUCCCCAGCCCACCCCAGUUUGAAGCAGGCACAUGGGUCUCCCCUACUACCACCAAUAUCAGCAAGAAAAUUCUUUCUGCUCUUUCUAUUUUUCUAGGGCUGUGAUUCUAGAAAGUCUCACAGAAGCUUGGCAGUACAGAAAAUAAGAAACAGAUUUCCAGUGUUUUGUUUUACCAUUUUC